This is a long non-coding RNA of Athene cunicularia (burrowing owl), 738 nucleotides long. RefSeq lists it as uncharacterized. The transcript is spliced from 3 exons. The record is from RefSeq and is a predicted model, not a curated record. NCBI's taxonomy places the organism in Eukaryota, Metazoa, Chordata, Aves, Strigiformes, Strigidae.
AGAAAUCCAAGUUACAGUUUUUGUUUCUAAACAUAAGAUGGCAGCAGAGGGACACUAGUAUUAAUAAAGCCUAUCCGCUCCAUCUCUGAGAAAGCCAAACAUCUUUGUUACACAACUAUUACACAAGCCACUCUUAGUUAUUUACCAGAAAUCUCUAAAGCCUGCACAAAAGAACUUUGAGCAUCAUUCUUUUAUCUACCACUACUUGGCUACGCGUGCCCUCACAGACAGUCGUAAGCUACCACCACUCUAGAGGAAAUCACUGCAGUCAGGCAGCCAGCCUUUCAAGUCCGUGAAUAGAUGACACGCGUUAGAGUGACUUACCUUCUCCUCUCUUACAAUUUCAAUAGCCCCUACUAGAAAAGGCAUAAAAAGCAGGCCUAAGAAAACCUCUGGAAGACCUUUCUUUCUGUACAGCAUCCUGCUUCAGAAAAGGAAGCAUGUUCCCUGCUUCUAAGUAUUUGUCUCCUUCAGGCAGAAGAGCUUACAAAAUCCAACUUGCAAGAAUACUGUGUGGCUUGAUAUUUCUAAUGGAACCUAUAUGUAUUUACAUCUUGUCAAAUUCUGUUUAAGCAAAAGAACAUCCUCUGGUAGAUCAAGAACAGAAUAGCAAAAUGGCAAAAUCUGUAGCUUUGCUAAUUGGAGGAGGCAUUCAGUUUUGAAUAUCUCUUCUAGAUUACUCAUUCUGGGUAGAGCCAGUUUUGUUCUCUUUUGAAGCUGAUUUCUGUUUAAAAAAAA